CCCCUAGAUGUUCUGGGCCGCACGCGCGCUACACUGAACAGUUCAACAAGUCUUAACCUUGGCCGAUAGGUCUGGGUAAUCUUUGAACGCUGUUCGUGAUUGGGAUAGACCUUUGCAAUUAUGGGUCUUCAACGAGGAAUUCCUAGUAAACGCAAGUCAUCAGCUUGCAUUGAUUACGUCCCUGCCCUUUGUACACACCGCCCGUCGCACCUACCGAUUGAAUGGUCCGGUGAAAUCUCGGGACGGCGGCUUGGUCGCUUGCGUCCGACUGCUGAAACUUGAUUAAACCAUAUCAUUUAGAGGAAGGUGAANUCGUAAC
Molecule: ribosomal RNA, 319 nt
Filed under: uncultured eukaryote
Lineage: Eukaryota
Description: partial 18S ribosomal RNA
Rfam family: Eukaryotic small subunit ribosomal RNA
Source: RNAcentral